CCUACGGGAGGCAGCAGUGGGGAAUAUUGCACAAUGGGGGGAACCCUGAUGCAGCGACGCCGCGUGAGUGAAGAAGUAAUUCGUUACGUAAAGCUCUAUCAGCAGGGAAGAAAUACUGACCUUACGGUCAGCAGACGGUACCUGAGGAAGAAGCCCCGGCUAACUACGUGCCAGCAGCCGCGGUAAUACGUAGGGGGCAAGCGUUAUCCGGAGUUACUGGGUGUAAAGGGAGCGUAGACGGUGCGCCAAGUCUGGAGUGAAAUGCCGGAGCUUAACUGCGGAACUGCUUUGGAAACUGGCGAACUAGAGUGCGGGAGGGGUAAGCGGAAUUCCUAGUGUAGCGGUGAAAUGCGUAGAUAUUAGGAGGAACACCGGUGGCGAAGGCGGCUUACUGGACCGUAACUGACGUUGAGGCUCGAAAGCGUGGGGAGCAAACAGGAUUAGAUACCCGGGUAGUC
RNAcentral lists this ribosomal RNA (458 nucleotides) under uncultured bacterium. RNAcentral's name for it is "partial 16S ribosomal RNA". It matches the Rfam family "Bacterial small subunit ribosomal RNA", at positions 338 to 795 of the family's 1533-position model. The record is from RNAcentral.